CGAAGGCGGCCCCUGGACAAGACUGACGCUCAGUGCGAAAGCGUGGGGAGCAAACAGGAUUAGAUACCUGGUAGUCACGCUGUAAACGAUGUCGAUUUGGAGGUUGUUCCCUUGAGGAGUGGCUUCCGGAGCUAACGCGUUAAAUCGACCGCUGGGGAGUACGGCCGCAAGGUUAAAACUCAAAUGAAUUGACGGGGGCCCGCACAAGCGGUGGAGCAUGUGGUUUAAUUCGAUGCAACGCGAAGAACCUUACCUACUCUUGACAUCCAGAGAAUUUAGCAGAGAUGCUUUAGUGCCUUCGGGAACUCUGAGACAGGUGCUGCAUGGCUGUCGUCAGCUCGUGUUGUGAAAUGUUGGGUUAAGUCCCGCAACGAGCGCAACCCUUAUCCUUUGUUGCCAGCACAUUAUGGUGGGAACUCAAAGGAGACUGCCGGUGAUAAACCGGAGGAAGGUGGGGAUGACGUCAAGUCAUCAUGGCCCUUACGAGUAGGGCUACACACGUGCUACAAUGGCGUAUACAAAGAGAAGCGACCUCGCGAGAGCAAGCGGAACUCAUAAAGUACGUCGUAGUCCGGAUUGGAGUCUGCAACUCGACUCCAUGAAGUCGGAAUCGCUAGUAAUCGUAGAUCAGAAUGCUACGGUGAAUACGUUCCCGGGCCUUGUACACACCGCCCGUCACACCAUGGGAGUGGGUUGCAAAAGAAGUAGGUAGCUUAACCUUCGGGAGGGCGCUUACCACUUUGUGAUUCAUGACUGGGGUGAAGUCGUAACAAGGUAACCA
This 781-nucleotide ribosomal RNA is filed under the name uncultured Providencia sp. Its description in RNAcentral is "bacterial SSU rRNA". It matches the Rfam family "Bacterial small subunit ribosomal RNA", at positions 716 to 1502 of the family's 1533-position model. The record is from RNAcentral. Lineage: Bacteria; Pseudomonadati; Pseudomonadota; Gammaproteobacteria; Enterobacterales; Morganellaceae.